AACGAACGCUGGCGGCAUGCCUAACACAUGCAAGUCGAACGAGACCUUCGGGUCUAGUGGUGCACGGGUGCGUAACGCGUGGGAACCUGCCCUUAGGUUCGGUAUAACUCCCCGAAAGGGGUGCUAAUACCGGAUAAUGUCUUCGGACCAAAGAUUUAUCGCCUUUGGAUGGGCCCGCGUUGGAUUAGCUAGUUGGUAGGGUAAAAGCCUACCAAGGCGACGAUCCAUAGCUGGUCUGAGAGGAUGAUCAGCCACACUGGGACUGAGACACGGCCCAGACUCCUACGGGAGGCAGCAGUGGGGAAUAUUGGACAAUGGGCGAAAGCCUGAUCCAGCAAUGCCGCGUGAGUGAUGAAGGCCUUAGGGUUGUAAAGCUCUUUUACCCGGGAUGAUAAUGACAGUACCGGGAGAAUAAGCUCCGGCUAACUCCGUG
Molecule: ribosomal RNA, 433 nt
Filed under: uncultured bacterium
Lineage: Bacteria
Description: partial 16S ribosomal RNA
Rfam family: Bacterial small subunit ribosomal RNA
Source: RNAcentral